Molecule: ribosomal RNA, 185 nt
Filed under: uncultured bacterium
Lineage: Bacteria
Description: partial 16S ribosomal RNA
Rfam family: Bacterial small subunit ribosomal RNA
Source: RNAcentral
GCCUUCAUGAAGCCGGAAUUGCUAGUAAUGGCAGGUCAGCAUACUGCCGUGAAUACGUUCCCGGGCCUUGUACACACCGCCCGUCACACCAUGAGAGUUGGAGAUACCCGAAGCCUGUGAGCUAACAAACGAGGCAGCAGUCGAAGGUAGAAUCAAUGAUUGGGGUGAAGUCGUAACAAGGUAUC